AAAUACAGGCGACUAAGAGAGCCAUCUGUUGACAGUCAUUAAUGAUUACUGUCAUGGAGUUGCUCUCUUCAGGUGACUGUAU
Molecule: non-coding RNA, 82 nt
Organism: Dracunculus medinensis (Guinea worm)
Lineage: Eukaryota; Metazoa; Nematoda; Chromadorea; Rhabditida; Dracunculidae
Source: Rfam